GACGAACGCUGGCGGCGUGCUUAACACAUGCAAGUCGAACGGAAAGGCCCUGCUUUUGUUGGGUGCUCGAGUGGCGAACGGGUGAGUAACACGUGAGUAACCUGCCCUUGACUUUUGGAUAACUUCAGGAAACUGUGGCUAAUACCGGAUAGGAGCUCCUGCUGCAUGGUGGGGGUUGGAAAGUUUCGGCGGUUGGGGAUGGACUCGCGGCUUAUCAGCUUGUUGGUGGGGUAGUGGCUUACCAAGGCUUUGACGGGUAGCCGGCCUGAGAGGGUGACCGGCCACAUUGGGACUGAGAUACGGCCCAGACUCCUACGGGAGGCAGCAGUGGGGAAUAUUGCACAAUGGGCGGAAGCCUGAUGCAGCAACGCCGCGUGCGGGAUGACGGCCUUCGAGUUGUAAACCGCUUUCGCCUGUGACGAAGCGUGAGUGACGGUAAUGGGUAAAGAAGCACCGGCUAACUACGUG
RNAcentral lists this ribosomal RNA (468 nucleotides) under uncultured bacterium. RNAcentral describes it as "partial 16S ribosomal RNA". It matches the Rfam family "Bacterial small subunit ribosomal RNA", at positions 28 to 507 of the family's 1533-position model. The record is from RNAcentral.